AACAGCUGUAUAUCCUUCCACUUUGAAACUCUCUUUUUAGGAGGUAUCACGACUUUCAUGGCAGCCAUAUCUUUGUCAGCAAUUUGCUUUUUUUCAUCUUCCUUCGUUCCACGAAAACGAUCGCGUAUUCUACUUAACCAACUUUGGGAAACGGUAGUAUUAUGAAAUGAUCGGUGAGACACACAAGAAUUGAGGUAAAUUCGAAUUGACGGGGUUGUAAAAUUUCUAGAAAACAUUAUCAAAGGCUAUUAUGUAUCAUUUGAAAGUAAGAAAGAGAGGAUUGCAAUGAAAUUUGAACAAAUUGGGGGAUUAGGAAAGGUUAUAGAGAGGCAAUUAACGAGUAGUAGGUGGGUUUGAAGUUGUGGUACUUUGCAGAAUUUCAUUGAAAUUAAAAAGUACGUUCCUUUUGCUUUUGCUAUAAUUAAUUAUAUUAUCCUUACUAUCACUUUUCACCUUUCUUUGAUUUUAUCGGGUUAGGACUGAAUGCCCAAAACAGGCUAAAUCUUGCGUUACAAAUUUAAGAGCACCGAAAAUAUUAUUACAAAAAGAUAUUGUAUAGUAUAUUUACUUUUUAGUAUGGUGUAAUUUUGAUGCUGCAAGAAAUACAGACCAUGUAAACGAUCAAUUGACAUACUAGAAUAAGACGAAGUAAAAAAAUGAAAUGCUUUCCCUAUAUAUUUACGAACUUAAACUUGAGGGCUUAUUAUUAAAAUAACAGCCUCACAAAAGAUUCAAACGAGACUUAAUUAUAUGAAAGCACGAUCGUUUAGCAGACUUAAUUAGGCAAACAAGCUAAGAAAUCAUCUUCGCAUAAACAAAAUUAAAAAUAUCAAGAAAAAACUGUAAAACCCGGCUUUUUGUGAAUGUAAUCAUUUAAUCAAAGAAAGAUAUUAAACUCAGCAAGUUGAGUAAACAGAUGACAUCGAGUUAAGCAAUCUACUUACUUUUUAGAACUCGUAACAUUAAUUAAAAUACGAUGCACCAUUCCAAACCCUUAAAAAUCCUUAAUUAUCUCCACUGAAAAUAUUCAACCCAAGUCGUCCAAGACAUCUUCUGCGUGCUGAACAAGUUCAUUUACAAUUGAAAUAAAGUUAUCCAAAACGUUGGAAGCAGAAUUAAGGAUAAAUCCCUCUUCAUCCGUCUUCGAUUCUGACGACUUACCUUGUUCAGCAAAGCUGACUACCGGCUUAACGUUAAGAGAAAGUAAUUGUGAUUCCAACUGUUCGUUCAUCAAUCGUAAAUUGUAAUUAGAAAUUUCAAGGUCUUCAAUCUACAAA
Schizosaccharomyces pombe (fission yeast) is the source of this 1277-nucleotide non-coding RNA. NCBI's taxonomy places the organism in Eukaryota, Fungi, Ascomycota, Schizosaccharomycetes, Schizosaccharomycetales, Schizosaccharomycetaceae. The record is from the annotation of a GenBank genome assembly.